UCAUAGCCAAACUUACGCAACUCUUUCAGUCGGCAAAAUAUGUUUUGAGAGAGCAGGUUGAAACUGUUUUUUAGUACGUUUCGCUUUUAAAAAUAAAUAGUGAUGCUGAUAUUAUUUGGCUUAACUUACAUGCUGAUGACAUCGCUGUCUACAUCGCAUGAAAUUGAGGAACCUGGAACAUGUCCUAAACCGACGGGAUUUGGUAUCUGUGCAGAGGCAUGCACCAGUGACUAUGAGUGUCCUAGCAGUCAGAAAUGUUGCCCAAACGGUUGUGGUCAUACAUGUCAGACACCGACACGCGAGUGAGUGAGUGAAUUGGGUUUUACGGCGAAUCGACACAUCAUAAUUCACCAUGAAGAAGUUAUAUUGAAAACAUUAAUUGUAAAGCAUACCUAACAUCAUUUAUAUAAAAAUGUAUAUACAUAUAUAGUGUUAAAAAUUUCAAUUGCAAACAAUAUUGCAAAAGAUGUGAAUAAAAGUAUGAAAUGUU
This is a long non-coding RNA of Mercenaria mercenaria, 490 nucleotides long. RefSeq lists it as uncharacterized. The transcript is spliced from 3 exons. Lineage: Eukaryota; Metazoa; Mollusca; Bivalvia; Venerida; Veneridae. The record is from RefSeq and is a predicted model, not a curated record.